RNAcentral lists this long non-coding RNA (243 nucleotides) under Elaeis guineensis (African oil palm). RNAcentral describes it as "long non-coding RNA (EGUI_LNC002092)". Lineage: Eukaryota; Viridiplantae; Streptophyta; Magnoliopsida; Arecales; Arecaceae. The record is from RNAcentral.
CCUUCCAACCUUCUAUAUUACCUCUUGCCUAUGUAACACCUCUCCACCUCAAUCAGAAGAUAACCAUAAAGAAAACAAGAAGAUUUAGGAUAAAAACCUAGUGCAACAGAUCCUGGAUGCAGGAACCCUAGGCAUCUUCCUUUUCUCCUCCGUGCAACCAUGCUUUGAUACCAAAUGUUGGGAUUCACAUUGGACCAUGCAUGGGACCUGAUGAUCAGCCAGCAACCAAAAGGGGAUCGCAUA